UGCCGGCGACCGGCGCACGGGUGAGUAACACGUAUGCGACCUGCCCCCGCAGGGGAUAACCGGGAGAAAUCCCGACUAAUACCGCGUAACGCCGCGGACCUGCAUGGGUCUGCGGCCAAAGGAAGCGAUUCCGGCGGGGGAUGGGCAUGCGGCGCAUUAGCUAGUCGGCGGGGUAACGGCCCACCGAGGCGACGAUGCGUAGGGGUUCUGAGAGGAAGGUCCCCCACACUGGUACUGAGACACGGACCAGACUCCUACGGAAGGCAGCAG
This 270-nucleotide ribosomal RNA is filed under the name uncultured bacterium. RNAcentral's name for it is "partial 16S ribosomal RNA". It matches the Rfam family "Bacterial small subunit ribosomal RNA", at positions 86 to 354 of the family's 1533-position model. The record is from RNAcentral.